GGGUUGUGAGGUUAAGCGACUAAGCGUACACGGUGGAUGCCUAGGCAAUCAGAGGCGAUGAAGGACGUGCUAAUCUGCGAUAAGCGUCGGUAAGGUGAUAUGAACCGUUACAACCGACGAUUUCCGAAUGGGGAAACCCAGUGCAAUUCGUUGCACUAUCGUUUGAUGAAUACAUAGUCAAACGAAGCGAACCGGGGGAACUGAAACAUCUCAGUACCCCGAGGAAAAGAAAUCAACCGAGAUUCCCCUAGUAGCGGCGAGCGAACGGGGAGCAGCCCAGAGUCUUAAUCAGCAUUAGCAUCAGGAGAACGGUCUGGAAAGUCCGGCAGUAAAGGGUGAUAGCCCCGUAUCCGAAGGUGUUAGUGUUGUGAACUCGACGAGUAGGGCGGGACACGUGUUAUCCUGUCUGAAUAUGGGGGGACCAUCCUCCAAGGCUAAAUACUCCUGAUUGACCGAUAGUGAACCAGUACCGUGAGGGAAAGGCGAAAAGAACCCCGGCGAGGGGAGUGAAAUAGAACCUGAAACCGUGUACGUACAAGCAGUGGGAGCCCCACCACCAAAGCAUUUUCUGGUGUUGAGGACAACCUUGAAGUUGCAUUCAACACGCGUUGGCGGAGCGCUUUUUGCGACGCCCAACACACAAAACAAGCAGUGAAUGUGCUUUGGGGUGGGGUGACUGCGUACCUUUUGUAUAAUGGGUCAGCGACUUAUAUUCUGUAGCAAGGUUAACCGAAUAGGGGAGCCGUAGGGAAACCGAGUCUUAACUGGGCGAAUAAGUUGCAGGGUAUAGACCCGAAACCCGGUGAUCUAGCCAUGGGCAGGUUGAAGGUUGGGUAACACUAACUGGAGGACCGAACCGACUAAUGUUGAAAAAUUAGCGGAUGACUUGUGGCUGGGGGUGAAAGGCCAAUCAAACCGGGAGAUAGCUGGUUCUCCCCGAAAGCUAUUUAGGUAGCGCCUCGUGAACUCAUCUUCGGGGGUAGAGCACUGUUUCGACUAGGGGGUCAUCCCGACUUACCAACUCGAUGCAAACUACGAAUACCGAAGAAUGUUAUCACGGGAGACACACGGCGGGUGCUAACGUUCGUCGUGAAGAGGGAAACAACCCAGACCGCCAGCUAAGGUCCCAAAGUCAUAGUUAAGUGGGAAACGAAGUGGGAAGGCUCAGACAGCCAGGAUGUUGGCUUAGAAGCAGCCAUCAUUUAAAGAAAGCGUAAUAGCUCACUGGUCGAGUCGGCCUGCGCGGAAGAUGUAACGGGGCUAAACUAUGCACCGAAGCUGCGGCAGCGAUAUGUAAAUAUUGUUGGGUAGGGGAGCGUUCUGUAAGCCUGUGAAGGUGUGCUGUGAGGCAUGCUGGAGGUAUCAGAAGUGCGAAUGCUGACAUAAGUAACGAUAAUGCGGGUGAAAAACCCGCACGCCGGAAGACCAAGGGUUCCUGUCCAACGUUAAUCGGGGCAGGGUGAGUCGACCCCUAAGGCGAGGCAGAAAUGCGUAGUCGAUGGGAAACGGGUUAAUAUUCCCGUACUGGUGAUAAUUGCGAUGGGGGGACGGAGAAGGCUAGGCUAUCCGGGCGACGGUUGUCCCGGUUUAAGGAUGUAGGCAGGUGAAUUAGGCAAAUCCGGUUCACUACAUGCUGAGGUCUGACGACGAGUCACUACGGUGAUGAAGUAGCUCAUGCCCCGCUUCCAGGAAAAGCCUCUAAGCUCUAGAUUAUCAUUAAUCGUACCCCAAACCGACACAGGUGGUCAGGUAGAGAAUACUCAGGCGCUUGAGAGAACUCGGGUGAAGGAACUAGGCAAAAUGGUGCCGUAACUUCGGGAGAAGGCACGCUGGCAUUAGGUGAAGUGAUUUACUCAUGGAGCUGAAGCCAGUCGCAGAUACCAGCUGGCUGCAACUGUUUAUUAAAAACACAGCACUGUGCAAACACGAAAGUGGACGUAUACGGUGUGACGCCUGCCCGGUGCUGGAAGGUUAAUUGAUGGGGUUAUCCGUAAGGAGAAGCUCUUGAUCGAAGCCCCAGUAAACGGCGGCCGUAACUAUAACGGUCCUAAGGUAGCGAAAUUCCUUGUCGGGUAAGUUCCGACCUGCACGAAUGGCGUAAUGAUGGCCAGGCUGUCUCCACCCGAGACUCAGUGAAAUUGAACUCGCUGUGAAGAUGCAGUGUACCCGCGGCAAGACGGAAAGACCCCGUGAACCUUUACUAUAGCUUGACACUGAACAUUGAGCCUUGAUGUGUAGGAUAGGUGGGAGGCUUUGAAGCGUGGACGCCAGUCUGCGUGGAGCCAACCUUGAAAUACCACCCUUUAAUGUUUGAUGUUCUAACGUUGCCCCAUUAUCUGGGGUGCGGACAGUGUCUGGUGGGUAGUUUGACUGGGGCGGUCUCCUCCCAAAGAGUAACGGAGGAGCACGAAGGUUGGCUAAGCAUGGUCGGACAUCAUGCGGUUAGUGCAAAGGCAUAAGCCAGCUUGACUGCGAGAGUGACGGCUCGAGCAGGUACGAAAGUAGGUCUUAGUGAUCCGGUGGUUCUGAAUGGAAGGGCCAUCGCUCAACGGAUAAAAGGUACUCCGGGGAUAACAGGCUGAUACCGCCCAAGAGUUCAUAUCGACGGCGGUGUUUGGCACCUCGAUGUCGGCUCAUCACAUCCUGGGGCUGAAGUAGGUCCCAAGGGUACGGCUGUUCGCCGUUUAAAGUGGUACGCGAGCUGGGUUUAGAACGUCGUGAGACAGUUCGGUCCCUAUCUGCCGUGGGCGUUGGAAGAUUGAAAGGGGCUGCUCCUAGUACGAGAGGACCGGAGUGGACGCACCACUGGUGUUCGGGUUGUCAUGCCAAUGGCAUUGCCCGGUAGCUAAGUGCGGAAGAGAUAACCGCUGAAAGCAUCUAAGCGGGAAACUUGCCUUGAGAUGAGUCUUCCCUGACUCUUUAAGAGUCCUAAAGGAACGUUUAAGACUAAGACGUUGAUAGGUUGGGUGUGUAAGCGUAGCGAUACGUUGAGCUAACCAAUACUAAUGAACCGUGAGGCUUAACCUGACAACACCGAAGGUGUUUUAG
Molecule: ribosomal RNA, 3048 nt
Filed under: Providencia rettgeri
Lineage: Bacteria; Pseudomonadati; Pseudomonadota; Gammaproteobacteria; Enterobacterales; Morganellaceae
Description: 23S ribosomal RNA
Rfam family: Bacterial large subunit ribosomal RNA
Source: RNAcentral